Long non-coding RNA from Microplitis mediator, 759 nucleotides. RefSeq lists it as uncharacterized. The transcript is spliced from 10 exons. Lineage: Eukaryota; Metazoa; Arthropoda; Insecta; Hymenoptera; Braconidae. The record is from RefSeq and is a predicted model, not a curated record.
AAUUAUUCAAUACACUCGUUCAUUACGUUCCAAGUUCUCAAAAGAGAAGCAUCGUCAUCAUGAACCCGCAAUGUCCGCGGAAGACCACGCCAUCAUGGCAUGCCGGCAUUUUCGCUUCGAUACUCACGUGGCUGAGACCAGGAUUCGAGACUUGAUUUAUUUUCAAUUCAAAAUGAUAUUUAUCCAUUAAAAAAAUAUGUAGGGUCAGCAAACACUGGUACCAAUUCAAACUGGAGAUUGAAUAAAUCGAACAAUAUUGGAGACCAAAAACUCAUUCAGAAAAAGAUGAUUCCAAUUGAUCCAAAUGAGAGAAUACCCUCAAGUUUGUGGAGCGUCAAUUAAACAGUCAACUGCUAAUGAUUAUAGAAUUCCAAUUUACUUCAAAAACUGAUUCAAGUCAAUUUAAUAAACUUCUGUACAUCAGCAAAUAUUUAUUCAUUAAAAAAAUAUGUGGGGUCAGCAGAUAUUGGCAUCAAUACAAACUGGAGAUUCAAUAAAUCGUAAAAAAAUUGGAAACCGAAAACUUAUUCGAAGAACGAUGAUUCCAAUGGACACAAAUAAAAGAAUACUGUCAAAUUUGUGGGAAUUCGAUUCUACAGUCAACUGCUAAUAAUAUCAGAUUACUCGAGAUUUCAAAAUAUUUUCAAACGGAAGAAUUUACUACUGGGUAUUUUAUAUGCCGACAAAAUAGGUCAUGCUAUAAUUAAUAAACUGAUUUGGUAAAUAAAUCUAAAAAAUACAUCUGAAAAAAAAAAAAAA